This is a long non-coding RNA of Sinocyclocheilus anshuiensis, 102 nucleotides long. RefSeq lists it as uncharacterized. Lineage: Eukaryota; Metazoa; Chordata; Actinopteri; Cypriniformes; Cyprinidae. The record is from RefSeq and is a predicted model, not a curated record. The transcript is spliced from 3 exons.
AGCAAACAGAAGAGGACAACACCAGUGGUGAUGGACCCAGACAGCUGAGCAGACGACUGAAGAUGAACAGGUGGAGUGCAUCAGUAUUCAGGUGAUUGUGAA